UCCUGCCUCAAUACUAAAUCAAAUUUUAAAUGUUCUGUCUCUUUUGAUUAGUACUUUUAGGGCACUGGUAGGCACCCACCUUACAAAGUUAUGGGCUGCAGCCUGGACCCAGGGAACACAGAGGGACCGGGAGGCAGUACUGAGACCUAAAAUGGUGGUGAGAGCCAGCCAAGAUAAAAUGGCUGACAGAUUUUUCAGAAACAGCUGUAGCUGGCGUUAUCAGCCAACUCUGAUAAAACCUGAAAAACCAAAGAGAUCCGUGGCUGUGUGUGGCGUGUGGCUCAAGGAGUACUCCCAGACUAUGUAACAUAGGAGGAAGUAUGGAGCCUUAUGAGACUCCAAACAAAAGCUUUCGUUUUGAAGAGCAGUAGUCUCCAAGUGACACCAUCUGGAAUCUCCCUGAGAGAUAGGAACAGAGCCACUGUAAAACAGUGCCUCCCACUCCCAACUCUUGAUCCAGAAGAAUAACAUGGUCUGAAAGCCACAGAGAGAUCCAAAAGGACCAGCAGUCAGACACCUUCUGUUGAUUCCUAAUUGGACCUCAUCCAUCAGGCUGAUCAAGGCAGUCUCAAGCCCACAGCCUGCCUGAGAGCUGAUUUGAAAUGGGUCCAGAUAAUCCGUUCCCCUCAAGAUUGUCACCAUGCUGUCUUUAUAGUACAAGAUAGGUGUAAUUCCUUUUGGUAAUACGGAAGAGCACAACUUUAUUUGGAGCAAUGCCUAUAGAAUUAGCCUCUUUCAUUUUUUUAAAUAUGAGAACUAUCUGUGUCUUCCUUGUUUCCAGCAUCCUUCACAUUGAAAAUGGUGGAUUGGUCACAAUUUCUGAGAGAAGAUACCUAAGAAAGAAGAAAGAAAUGUCUAAAUAUUUCUUGCACAAGCUUUCUAUUUCCAUCUAUAUGGUUGAGGAGGAGUCAUUUUGUUUGGGGAGAAACUCAUACUCCCUUUCUAUAGAUAGUGCCACUCCUUAUUGGGUCCUGCCCCAGUCACAUGCUCCUGAAGGCCUAAGACUGCUCAAGACUUUCUUGUAGGGAGAAUAGAAUAUUCUCCAGAAUAUUCUCUUGGAAGGGUGAAUCUGCUCAUAUUAAAAAGUGGAUGGUGGCAGCCUACCUGGGAUUCCUCACAGCUAGAGGAGAUUCAUUUGCAGCAGAAAACAAGAGAAAGACUGUAAAGAAGUUUAUACCACUCAGUUCAGGUCUACUGAGGGACAAUCCAGCAACAAGUCCAUUCCUGGGCCAUGUAGAGGUUAGUCUAGCAAUUCUACAGUGACAUCACCAUUUUCCUGUCCAGCUUUCCUGCUUGGUUGUGGAUUAGAGAGCAAUGUGCAACUGAACCAAGAUACAGAUCUGCACCAAGAUAUGGAUCUUGAGAGUUGACCAAAUAUUGACAUAUGACCGAUUAUCAUCUCACCAACUGUUUUUGCAGACAUAACCAAAGCCCAAGGAUUCCUAUAUGCAGUGCAUUCCAUGCAAAAGAGGGUUUUGCCAACUUUCUCAUAUGUCAAUGAAAGCUCUUCAGGAUACAGUCAGAAGGAGUCUUUGAAAUAGUAAGAUAAAGCACAAUAAGUUGUAGUAAUCACUUUUAAGUGGCAGGGAUGCCUGGAGUAAGAGGACAUCAAUCAUAUUCUUGGAGCUUAUACACAGAAUAACAUUGCUGAGAAAGUUGGUUUUGGAGAGCCCUUUUGGGGGGGGGGUAUGAACUUCUGGAAGAUGAAACCAACUGAAGGACCUGGAGCCAAGAAUGGUGGUGCCAGUUCAUUCCAAUACAAUUUUGUUCCCUCUAUUUAUCUGCUCUUCAGAAAAUGUUAGGUCUUCCAGUUCUCCAGACCAGAGGCUUCUUACCCUAGAAAGGAAAGGGAAAGAAUGCAGCAAUUCAUGCAAGGUUUCUUUCUGUUCAUCUCCAAAACUAGUCCUAAAACUGUGAGGCAGGCUUCCUCAAAGAGGCUCAAGCAAUUGCCAGGAGUGGCACAACUUGCUUCUUAAAUUUUCCCCUCUGCCUGAUUUUGUGUAUUUCUCACUUGGGCUUAGAAGUAAAGGCUCUGUCAGAUAUUUGUGAUCCUAUGGGAGUUUGGGGAAAAGAUGAAAAAUGUGUUUAAAAUCACCCGCUUACCCAUUUCUUUUGUGGGUUGGGUGGUAUGUAGCAACCAUCAUGCCCUACCACCCAACCCACUUUGGUAUCCUUAGGAGCUACCCAUGGGGAACAAUGGGGUGUUUUGAAUUUCCCCAUUGUCCGUUAUGGCUGGAACAAGCUGCACUCAUAGAGUACACCACACACAAGUUUUGCAUUGUAGUUUGCAAUGUAUUUUGCAAUCCUGCCUCGAAAAACACUGCAGAAGCACACAGUAAAAAUCUGUUCCUUCCAACACAGAAAAAAACCACACAUUUCAAACACAGUCCAAAAAUGAUCCCCCCCCCAAAAAAACCCCAAAAUUUCACCGACCCAGAAUCCGCCGCCAGUCAAAGUGCCUACGCUGCAGUAACAUCAUUGGCACAUAAAUAAACAACGGGCUUUUAAUUAGAUUUAUGGUUUUAAUUGUUAAUGUUGGUUUUAAAUUACUUUAAUGUUAAUGAUUUUAAUGUUUAAAUGAUUUUGUUUAAGUGAUUUAAUGUUUUUAAUGAUUUUAAUUGUAAACUGCCCAGAGACACAAGUUUUGGGCGGUAUAAAAAUAUGUUGAAUAAAUAAAGUAAGUUGCUUUCUCACAAACAAUUAUGACUCCUUAAAUUACUUGCUAGCAUUGCAACAGCUGCCACAGCAGCACCCUUUCUUAGCAGCAAGCAUAGCCAUAAGCUCAACUAGAGCAACUUCAGCCACAUUUUGACUGAGUACAUCCUGUAAUGCAGAGCAGACGCAAGUGUCUCAAGGUCAGACAUGGAGCUCAUCAUAGCAAUCACCAAGAAAUAUUACACAAACACAGAGAGCUGUCUAUUUCUCACCACAAAACUAUCUCACAAACAAACCAAACUACAACUCAAACGUUCAAGGCAGGCACCAAAGUUUUGCCUUUGUCAAUCUGAGAUCUAGCAAAACCAGACAGUUAUAGCAACAACAGCACAGCAUAUCAUGGCCACGCCACUAACAGAGAUCCAGUUGGCGGGGACUAUGAAUGCCCUCCCUGAAGAGCUUCGCCAUGCUCUCUCCCUCAGUGUUUUUAAAAAACAUCUUAAAAUACACCCUUUUAAGGAGGCUUUUUAAUGCUCCAUUUUUUGUUAUACCUGGUAGGUUCUUUAGCUUUUUAUAAUUUUUGGGUUUUAGCUUUUAAAAUAACCCUUAAUUUGAACCUAAUAAUGAUUGUGGUUUUUAAUCUGACAACUUUUGUGUUUAAUUUAAUUAAUUUUAUUACUUUUAUUGUAUCUUAUUAUCUUAUUGUUGUGAGCUGCCCCGUGCUUGGGGUGGGAUAUAAAUAUUUCAAAUAAUAAUAAAUAAAUAAAUAAAUAUCAAUGCUGAGAAAAUAAAACUUCAAAAAUCA
This is a long non-coding RNA of Hemicordylus capensis (graceful crag lizard), 3460 nucleotides long. RefSeq lists it as uncharacterized. The record is from RefSeq and is a predicted model, not a curated record. NCBI's taxonomy places the organism in Eukaryota, Metazoa, Chordata, Lepidosauria, Squamata, Cordylidae. The transcript is spliced from 4 exons.